UCUUUUAGCUGCAUGAUUCUAUCCCAGAAUGCUUGCCCCCAAAUUUGCACUAGUUUAACGCUAUAAGCUGGCAGAAUACAUGGUGCUAUAUGGACAUUGUAUUUGUCUUAUAAAGAAUACAUCUAGGUAGGUUGUUUUACUGCAAAAAGCAGCUAAAGAUCUUUAUAAACAUUCAUAAUUACAAAAGGAGGUAGAUGCAUAUGAUUAAGAACUAAUAAUGUUAACAAUAAAAAAAAAAAAAGAUGUUAGUAAGGGGUUGUCAGGAAAUAUUGCAAGAAACUAAACUUCAGGUAAAACAAAAAAACGACUUUUUGGUUUCAACAAGAGAAUGUUUUAUUUAUAAAGAAGAUAAAAAUUUGGUUUUCUCGAUUGACCUGUCCCAAGGUGCUCUGAGGUGGUAGUCAUGAUAUUGUGUUGAGUAUGUGUCAAUCCACAUGCACACUAACCGCACAGGCUUGUUAUUUGAAAACUGGUUCUUCCCUUGACUAGGUGCACCUCUCUGCGCAAUAUAAGAGACAAUGAAGAGAAAGACUCUGCGUUCAGAGGAAUCUGCACCAUGAUCACGGUCAACCCUGGUGGUGUGGUGCAGGACUUCAUAUUUUUCUGUGACGCUGUUGCAUCCUGGGUGAACCCAAAAGACGAUCUUCGAGAAAUGUUCUAUAAGAUCUUGCAUGGGUUUAAGAACCAGGUUGGAGAUGAGAAUUGGAUACACUUUUCUGACCAGUUUCCCCUUCCACUCAAAGAGAGACUUGCAGCCUUCUAUGGGGUGUAGAUGUUACCUGAUU
This is a long non-coding RNA of Sinocyclocheilus grahami, 785 nucleotides long. RefSeq lists it as uncharacterized. NCBI's taxonomy places the organism in Eukaryota, Metazoa, Chordata, Actinopteri, Cypriniformes, Cyprinidae. The transcript has 3 exons. The record is from RefSeq and is a predicted model, not a curated record.